AACGAACGCUGGCGGCAUGCCUAACACAUGCAAGUCGAACGAGACCUUCGGGUCUAGUGGCGCACGGGUGCGUAACGCGUGGGAACCUGCCCUUAGGUUCGGAAUAACUCCCCGAAAGGGGUGCUAAUACCGGAUAAUGUCUUCGGACCAAAGAUUUAUCGACUUUGGAUGGGCCCUCGUUGGAUUAGCUAGUUGGUAGGGUAAAAGCCUACCAAGGGGACGAUCCAUAGCUGGUCUGAGAGGAUGAUCAGCAACACUGGGACUGAGACACGGCCCAGACUCCUACGGGAGGCAGCAGUGGGGAAUAUUGGACAAUGGGCGAAAGCAUGAUCCAGCAAUGACGCGUGAGUGAUGAAGGCCUUAGGGUUGUAAAGCUCUUUUAACCGGGAUGAUAAUGACAGUACCGGGAGAAUAAGCUCCGGCUAACUCCGUG
Molecule: ribosomal RNA, 433 nt
Filed under: uncultured bacterium
Lineage: Bacteria
Description: partial 16S ribosomal RNA
Rfam family: Bacterial small subunit ribosomal RNA
Source: RNAcentral